GACGAACGCUGGCGGCGUGCUUAACACAUGCAAGUCGAACGGAAAGGCCCUGCUUUUGUGGGGUGCUCGAGUGGCGAACGGGUGAGUAACACGUGAGUAACCUGCCCUUGACUUUGGGAUAACUUCAGGAAACUGGGGCUAAUACCGGAUAGGAGCUCCUGCUGCAUGGUGGGGGUUGGAAAGUUUCGGCGGUUGGGGAUGGACUCGCGGCUUAUCAGCUUGUUGGUGGGGUAGUGGCUUACCAAGGCUUUGACGGGUAGCCGGCCUGAGAGGGUGACCGGCCACCUUGGGACUGGGGUACGGCCCAGACUCCUACGGGGGGCAGCAGUGGGGAAUAUUGCCCAAUGGGCGGAAGCCUGAUGCAGCAACGCCGCGUGCGGGAUGACGGCCUUCGGGUUGUAAACCGCUUUCGCCUGUGACGAAGCGUGAGUGACGGUAAUGGGUAAAGAAGCACCGGCUAACUACGUG
RNAcentral lists this ribosomal RNA (468 nucleotides) under uncultured bacterium. RNAcentral's name for it is "partial 16S ribosomal RNA". It matches the Rfam family "Bacterial small subunit ribosomal RNA", at positions 28 to 507 of the family's 1533-position model. The record is from RNAcentral.